ACUAGAUCAGGUUGCCCAGGGCCCCGUCCAACCUGGUCUUGAACACCUCCAAGGACGGGGCAUCCACAACCUCCCUGCGCAGCCUGUUCCAGGCUUUCUGUCAGCUCUUUACCUGCUUUAACACCGGUCUUUGUCUUUGCAGGUGGGCACCUCCUCGGUGGUGUACCCCGCCGCCAUGUUCGCCCCGCAGGUGUCGUCCCGCGGGGUGCCGGUGGCAGAAUUCAACACGGAAGCCACUCCCGCUACAGACAGGUUCAGGUUCCACUUCCAGGGCCCAUGUGGAAGCACGCUGCCGCCUGCCUUAGCCCGCCACGAGUCCGAGAUCAUCGCCUGAGGCGGGGCGGGGGCGGUGGGGCGGGGCGGGGCGGCGGGCCCCGAUCGUGCCAAUAAAGCGUGUGGAGCGGCAGCCCCUGUGUCGUGGUCUGACUGCCGGCAACGGGAUAAAGGUAGAGCGGAAGGAAGUCCGAGGAACGACUUCGGAAGUCGGCGGAGCUUUUCCGGGUCGCGCUGAGACGCGUUGCGGAGCGUGGCCAUGGUGCGGCGGCUCAGACGGCAGAAGGGGAAGGCGGCCCCCGUCGGCCCGUCCGCCGCUUCGCCCUCCUCGGAGGAUGAGGAGCCCCCCGAGGAGCUGUCGUUCGGCACGGCCAGGGCGGAGGCCGAGGCCGAGAGGAAGCUCGUGGGGGAGGCGGCGCGGAGGCACCGGGAGCUGCUGAAGGAGAAGCGGCGGCGGCGGCAGGAGCUGUUCACGGAGCAGAAGAGAAGGAAGCUGCUGCCCGAGGCCCUGCUGCAGGAGCUGGCCGCAGCCCCGCCUGCACGGUGAGGGGAGGGCGGGGAGACACGGGCGGCUUGUCUGGGGCCCUUGGCUGCACGAAGCCGGAGUGUGCUGAGUGUGGCAGUAACGUGUUUUCCCCUUCCCUCGUAGAGCAGAUGAGCCGAGCCCCCCUGCUGCACCAGGUACUUUGGAUGUUCUGUUUCCACAGCUCACAGUUAGCAGAGAAUGAAGGUGGGAUUAGACCUUCCCUUUCCAGCAGCGCGUGGCUUUUCUAUUGCACUGAUUGUUCUUUUUUGGCCUGUACGGAAUCCCAUCUAUUUGGGACUGAUGGCAGGGAACAGGAAAGCACUGUAGCUUUUAGGCUGCCUUUUUCAGCAGCUCUCUGAGGGCACCGCUGCUGGGUUUUACCAAUCAGAGCAGCUGAAAAGUGCCUCCUGGCUGCUUGUUCACAGCUUGUGUUGCUUCACAGAAUCACAGAAUCACAGAAUCACAGAAUCACAAAAUGACCCAGGUUGGAAGGGACCUCAAGGAUCAUGUAGUUCCAACCCCCCUGCCUAGCAGGGCCACCAAACAUACACAUU
Molecule: long non-coding RNA, 1353 nt
Filed under: Coturnix japonica (Japanese quail)
Lineage: Eukaryota; Metazoa; Chordata; Aves; Galliformes; Phasianidae
Description: lncRNA (ENSCJPG00005006689.1)
Source: RNAcentral